Molecule: long non-coding RNA, 749 nt
Filed under: Cicer arietinum (chickpea)
Lineage: Eukaryota; Viridiplantae; Streptophyta; Magnoliopsida; Fabales; Fabaceae
Description: long non-coding RNA (CARI_LNC001224)
Source: RNAcentral
AUUAACAAAUUACUUACAAGUUUUAAAUGUAUUUCUAAAACAAAUAUGAUGUUGUUUAACUAAUAUUAUUCGAGUCAUGUUUUAACUAACAUGACAAUAGUAUUGCUUGAAACCAAUUUUGUUUUUCUAAGGAUUGGGGUGGUUUGUGCUUGUGCAAUUUUAAUGUCUCUUGUUAUAAAGUUAGGUUGGAGUUUGAUAUCUCAAUCGGGAAAUGAUAUCACCUCUAGUGCUUGUAGUGAGUUAAUUGUUCAUAAGUCUAACAAUCUAUUCAAGAGACGAGGAAUUUGGUUUUAAAAGAUGGUCAAUGGAUUUUGGAAAAUAGCAAGUCGAUUUAGUUCUACGUUGAUUGUUCGCAACCUUAUGGGCUAGUUACUGAGGACUAUGUUACUCAAACGAUCCUAUAACACAUAGAUCUUCACCUAGUGCAUCUUUUUAAAUGAGGAUGGUAUGUGGGACUUAAUGUUAUUGCUCAAUACAUUCCAGAUUGUCACCAAAUGGAAAAUUUAGCCACGAUGCCUCUUUUAUGACCUGUUGGAAGAUUAUCAUUUUGUUUGGUCAUUCACACUGAAUGGAGUAUUCUCAACCAUGUCAGCUUACCAAUUGAUGGAAAAUCAAAAUUAAUAUCCUAGGGGGAAUGGGAUUUGGAACAUGCUCUAGUUGUGGGAAGGUCAUCCACGGGAGAACCAUCUUAUAUAUAAAACCUUGUAAAUGGGACGGUUAUAAAAGCUGCCUUUUCUGUUUCAAAACCC